This 167-nucleotide ribosomal RNA is filed under the name uncultured bacterium. RNAcentral describes it as "partial 16S rRNA". It matches the Rfam family "Bacterial small subunit ribosomal RNA", at positions 352 to 511 of the family's 1533-position model. The record is from RNAcentral.
CAGUAGGGAAUCUUCCACAAUGGGCGAAAGCCUGAUGGAGCAACGCCGCGUGUGUGAUGAAGGCUUUCGGGUCGUAAAGCACUGUUGUAUGGGAAGAAUGACAUUGAGAGUAACUGUUCAAUGUGUGACGGUAUCUUACCAGAAAGGAACGGCUAAAUACGUGCCAG